RNAcentral lists this non-coding RNA (24 nucleotides) under Arabidopsis thaliana (thale cress). Lineage: Eukaryota; Viridiplantae; Streptophyta; Magnoliopsida; Brassicales; Brassicaceae. The record is from RNAcentral.
CCAAAACUUCAACGGGCAAAGAUG